Molecule: non-coding RNA, 68 nt
Organism: Onchocerca flexuosa
Lineage: Eukaryota; Metazoa; Nematoda; Chromadorea; Rhabditida; Onchocercidae
Source: Rfam
GUCUACGACCAUACCACGUUGAAAGCACGACAUCUCGUCCGAUCUGUCAAGUUAAGCAACGUUGGGCC